This 219-nucleotide ribosomal RNA is filed under the name Triticum aestivum (bread wheat). Its description in RNAcentral is "partial small subunit ribosomal RNA". Lineage: Eukaryota; Viridiplantae; Streptophyta; Magnoliopsida; Poales; Poaceae. The record is from RNAcentral.
AUGAAUGUAAUAACUUGGAACUGUCGCGGGCUUGGGAACCCGGAGACAGUUCGGGAGCUUCACAAUCUGGUGAGGCUAGAAGCGCCCGCCCUUGUUUUUGUGUGUGAGACAAAGAUCAAGGGUAAUCGUGUGACCGAUCUAACAAAGCGACUUGGGUUUGAAGGUUGUUUUUCAGUUGAUAGUGCAGGCCUCAGUGGGGGUUUGGCGCUGUUUUGGUCC